CGGGAUGUAGCGCAGCUUGGUAGCGCACUACAAUGGGGUUGUAGGGGUCGCUGGUUCGAAUCCAGUCAUCCCGA
RNAcentral lists this transfer RNA (74 nucleotides) under Oceanospirillum multiglobuliferum. It matches the Rfam family "tRNA". From Rfam's summary of the family: Transfer RNA (tRNA) molecules are approximately 80 nucleotides in length. Their secondary structure includes four short double-helical elements and three loops (D, anti-codon, and T loops). Further hydrogen bonds mediate the characteristic L-shaped molecular structure. tRNAs have two regions of fundamental functional importance: the anti-codon, which is responsible for specific mRNA codon recognition, and the 3' end, to which the tRNAs corresponding amino acid is attached (by aminoacyl-tRNA synthetases). tRNAs cope with the degeneracy of the genetic code in two manners: having more than one tRNA (with a specific anti-codon) for a particular amino acid; and 'wobble' base-pairing, i.e. permitting non-standard base-pairing at the 3rd anti-codon position. The record is from Rfam by way of RNAcentral. Lineage: Bacteria; Pseudomonadati; Pseudomonadota; Gammaproteobacteria; Oceanospirillales; Oceanospirillaceae.